RNAcentral lists this ribosomal RNA (393 nucleotides) under uncultured bacterium. Its description in RNAcentral is "partial 16S ribosomal RNA". It matches the Rfam family "Bacterial small subunit ribosomal RNA", at positions 523 to 918 of the family's 1533-position model. The record is from RNAcentral.
AUACGGAGGAUGCAAGCGUUAUCCGGAUUUAUUGGGUUUAAAGGGUGCGUAGGCGGAUGAUUAAGCGUGAGGUGAAAUGCCACUGCUCAACAGUGGAACUGCCUCGCGAACUGGUUGUCUUGAAUGCUCCUGCCGUGGGAGGAAUGUGUGGUGUAGCGGUGAAAUGCAUAGAGAUCACACAGAACACCGAUUGCGAAGGCAUCUCACGAAGGGGUGAUUGACGCUGAGGCACGAAAGCGUGGGGAUCAAACAGGAUUAGAUACCCUGGUAGUCCACGCAGUAAACGAUGAUGGCUAACCGCUGGAUCCAUCGGCUCAGUGGCCAAGCGAAAGCGAUAAGCCAUCCACCUGGGGAGUACGACCGCAAGGUUGAAACUCAAAUGAAUUGGCGGGG